GGACGAACGCUGGCGGCGUGCUUAACACAUGCAAGUCGAGCGGUAAGGCCCUUUCGGGGGGUACACGAGCGGCGAACGGGUGAGUAACACGUGGGUGACCUGCCCUCAGCUCUGGGGAUAAGCCCUGGGGAAACCGGGUCUAAUACUGGAUAAUGACUCCAUGACGCAUGUUGUGGGGUGGAAAGCCUUGUGCGGCUGAGGAGUGGGCCCGCGGCCUAUCAGCUUGUUGGUGGGGUGAUGGCCUACCAAGGCGACGACGGGUAGCCGGCCUGAGAGGGCGACCGGCCACACUGGGACUGAGACACGGCCCAGACUCCUAC
This 320-nucleotide ribosomal RNA is filed under the name uncultured bacterium. Its description in RNAcentral is "bacterial SSU rRNA". It matches the Rfam family "Bacterial small subunit ribosomal RNA", at positions 27 to 342 of the family's 1533-position model. The record is from RNAcentral.